Molecule: ribosomal RNA, 468 nt
Filed under: uncultured bacterium
Lineage: Bacteria
Description: partial 16S ribosomal RNA
Rfam family: Bacterial small subunit ribosomal RNA
Source: RNAcentral
GACGAACGCUGGCGGCGUGCUUAACACAUGCAAGUCGAACGGAAAGGCCCUGCUUUUGUGGGGUGCUCGAGUGGCGAACGGGUGAGUAACACGUGAGUAACCUGCCCUUGACUUUGGGAUAACUUCAGGAAACUGGGGCUAAUACCGGAUAGGAGCUCCUGCUGCAUGGUGGGGGUUGGAAAGUUUCGGCGGUUGGGGAUGGACUCGCGGCUUAUCAGCUUGUUGGUGGGGUAGUGGCUUACCAAGGCUUUGACGGGUAGCCGGCCUGAGAGGGGGACCGGCGACAAUGGGACUGAGAGACGGCCCAGACGCCUACGGGAGGCAGCAGUGGGGAAUAUUGCACAAUGGGCGGAAGCCUGAGGCAGCAACGCCGCGUGCGGGAUGACGGCCUUCGGGUGGUAAACCGCUUUCGCCUGUGACGAAGCGUGAGUGACGGUAAUGGGUAAAGAAGCACCGGCUAACUACGUG